CCAGCAGCAGCAGGAGCCCCGGGGGUCCCCGCGCAGCGUGGGCGCUGCGGGAGGCGGCAGGGAAGCGGGCUGCGAGGAGCACCGCGGCCAUCGGCGACACGGGAAAUAAGUUUUCUCGCGGUCUCUGCGGCAGCCGAGCAAAUCGUCCUCGACAUUUCCCCGCCCGGCUGCCCCUGCCCCCGCGGCUGCCGAGACAGCUCCCGCGAGGAAGCCCGCCCUGCUGCCACGGCACCUCGUUUUUCCUUAAAAGCUUGUUGGCAGAAGAGAUUUCUUGGGGUAGAGCCCAGCCCGCUGCUAACACGUGAAAGAGUUAAUGGUUUAUUCGAGCUGCUGCUUCCACAUACCACGAAGACCCCACGUAGGCAUCCAGCGUCCUCUGGUACAGUGCUUGGAGAGCGCAAACAGCAAGUCAGCCAUGUGGACUCCAUCUCCAGAUUUGCCCCCUGACUUUCAUGCACUGCUCAGCCCUUUCUUGAAAGCAUGUCCCUGGGAGCUGGGCAAUGGCAUUUCAUUAAAACCUGCUGUAAUUGCCCAAGUCCAACUGGUCGCUGGGCUCUGGUCAUUUCUUGACGAGCCUUUCUUGACAUCGUUACUGUAAUUAGUGAAGAAUAAAGGUAUGCUUGAAAUUUG
This is a long non-coding RNA of Dromaius novaehollandiae (emu), 630 nucleotides long. RefSeq lists it as uncharacterized. The transcript has 2 exons. Lineage: Eukaryota; Metazoa; Chordata; Aves; Casuariiformes; Dromaiidae. The record is from RefSeq and is a predicted model, not a curated record.